GGCGGGGCCCUGUGUGAAGCAGGGGUGCAGGCUCAGCUCACCUUGGGCGGGCUGAGCAAUGGGUGAGGACAGCGUGCACCCCUGACAGUUCUGCAGAAAGUGGGACAAAGGAUAUCUAAAUAGUGGUGGUCAUUUGCCUGACCCUGUGGACUUACCGAGGAGCCUAUUCCUCUCAUCGUUUUGUGAUAGUUUUGAAAUUCGGCAUAUAUGAAAAGUCAGCUGGGGAGAUAGUAACAGCCUGAGACUUGCAGUGGCACGGAGCCUUGAGGAUUUGUCAGAUUCUCCAGGCAGAUUACACAGCAGUGCUGGCUCUCAUCAUUUCUGUGGAAGUGAACCAGAGUUCUCCCUCCCGCCCGGGUCCGGCUCUGGACCUGCUAACCAGUCUCUCCCUGGUCCCUCUCCCCUCCCCUGCCCACCCUUGGUAACCACCCU
Molecule: long non-coding RNA, 432 nt
Filed under: Fukomys damarensis (Damara mole-rat)
Lineage: Eukaryota; Metazoa; Chordata; Mammalia; Rodentia; Bathyergidae
Description: lncRNA (ENSFDAG00000032199.1)
Source: RNAcentral